Molecule: long non-coding RNA, 1014 nt
Filed under: Marmota monax (woodchuck)
Lineage: Eukaryota; Metazoa; Chordata; Mammalia; Rodentia; Sciuridae
Source: RNAcentral
AAAAAAAAUUUUAAAUAUAUUUUUAGUUGUCCAUAGACCUUUAUUUAUAUGCAGUGCUGAGACUCGAACCCAGUGCCUCACACAUGCUGGGCAAGCGCUCUACUGCUGAGCUACAAUUACAGCUCUGAUUUGUGAAAUUUUUUAACCAGAAAUACCUAGACUCAAGUUGUGGUGUCAGGAUGAACCACAUAAAAUUACUCACAGGCAAUUAGUUUUUGACCUGCAAAAAUGGCAGUUUCACUGGGUUUAAAUAUGUAUUUCAAAUUUGUUUUUUCCUUGUCAUGAAAGUUCACAAUACACCAAUUAAAAUUUGAGGUCUAUAUUACAAUCUUCAAAAUGAAGCCAAAAAAACCCACCCCAAACCCCCAAAUGAAAAUGAAGUUGAAUCCAGGUAGAUAUUUCUUUUAUCUUUCCUAGGUAUAGAAUCCUAAGAAAACUGCAGUUACCACCUUACUAGCAAUUUGGUUUCUAUGCCUCAAAACAAUGGCUGCCCUGCCUUCUAGAGGUAAGGCCAAUUGGAGGAUCAACUUUUAGUGAAACUACUUAUUCUGCCAGUUGGUUCUUAAGUCAGACUCAUGUCCACUGUACCUCUACCAAAUCUUUUAUCUUAUGUGUCAGCAUUUCUGCUUAGUGAGUGAUGUUACAGGAUGUAAAUUAUACUAGUUUAUGAUAGGUGUUUUUCCCUUCUAAAUUAAAUCAGAUCAUUUAUCCUAAUCAGCAAUGUAUCAAGAACAAAGUGAUCAUUUAAAGACUCAACCUUAGGUACCAAAAGUACCUCAUGUUCUAAAUCUACAUUAUGCCUUUCUUUUCUCUUGGCAUGUGUUCCCUAAUUUUUUCUUUUAAUCUGCUUUUCCUUCUCAGGGAGAAUAACAACUAUUCAAAGAUGCCAUCUAAUGCACUAUCCCACUAACUACUGUGGCCAGUGAUUUUUAAGCAUAAUAAACUGCUUUCAAGUGGAAGAGAACCUAAGCACAAUAAAUGAAUUGCUAUACCUUCAGCAGAGGCAUAGGUCAU